RNAcentral lists this ribosomal RNA (740 nucleotides) under uncultured bacterium. RNAcentral's name for it is "bacterial SSU rRNA". It matches the Rfam family "Bacterial small subunit ribosomal RNA", at positions 8 to 796 of the family's 1533-position model. The record is from RNAcentral.
AGAGUUUGAUCAUGGCUCAGAACGAACGCUGGCGGCAGGCUUAACACAUGCAAGUCGAACGCACCUUCGGGUGAGUGGCAGACGGGUGAGUAACGCGUGGGAACGUGCCCUUCAGUUCGGAAUAACCCAGGGAAACUUGGGCUAAUACCGGAUACGUGCGAGAGCAGAAAGAUUUAUCGCUGAAGGAUCGGCCCGCGUCUGAUUAGCUAGUUGGUGGGGUAAUGGCCCACCAAGGCGACGAUCAGUAGCUGGUCUGAGAGGAUGAUCAGCCACAUUGGGACUGAGACACGGCCCAAACUCCUACGGGAGGCAGCAGUGGGGAAUAUUGGACAAUGGGCGCAAGCCUGAUCCAGCCAUGCCGCGUGAGUGAUGAAGGCCUUAGGGUUGUAAAGCUCUUUCGUCCGGGACGAUAAUGACGGUACCGGAAGAAGAAGCCCCGGCUAACUUCGUGCCAGCAGCCGCGGUAAUACGAAGGGGGCUAGCGUUGUUCGGAAUCACUGGGCGUAAAGGGCGCGUAGGCGGCUUUGUAAGUCGGGGGUGAAAGCCUGUGGCUCAACCACAGAAUUGCCUUCGAUACUGCAUGGCUUGAGACCGGAAGAGGUAAGUGGAACUGCGAGUGUAGAGGUGAAAUUCGUAGAUAUUCGCAAGAACACCAGUAGCGAAGGCGGCUUACUGGUCCGGUUCUGACGCUGAGGCGCGAAAGCGUGGGGAGCAAACAGGAUUAGAUACCCUAGUAGUCC